ACCGCCGUAGUUGUCCACAAUACUUAAAUCAAGGUUCUAGUUAGCUACUCUGGAACACAUGCAUUGCAAUCAAUUCCUUGAAGGAUAUCUAUAACCUUAGCAAUUCUAUAGUUAAGGCUAAUCCCUCAUAACCAUAAUAAACCCUAAAUCUAACAGGUGGAUCUAUUCAAGCAUUAUAGUUGUCACAUAAAACCAUAGAUGAAUAGAAAUCAAUAAUAAAACCACAGGAGUUCCAAGAGGACUCUGAAGAAGUUCCUCUCUUCUCUCCAACCCUAAACCUAUGGACAAAACUAAGUAAAGAAAGCUUAGCCGU
Molecule: long non-coding RNA, 313 nt
Filed under: Brassica napus (rape)
Lineage: Eukaryota; Viridiplantae; Streptophyta; Magnoliopsida; Brassicales; Brassicaceae
Description: long non-coding RNA (BNAP_LNC021150)
Source: RNAcentral